RNAcentral lists this signal recognition particle RNA (148 nucleotides) under Chlorocebus sabaeus (green monkey). RNAcentral's name for it is "Metazoan signal recognition particle RNA". It matches the Rfam family "Metazoan signal recognition particle RNA". Rfam says of the family: The signal recognition particle (SRP) is a universally conserved ribonucleoprotein. It is involved in the co-translational targeting of proteins to membranes. The eukaryotic SRP consists of a 300-nucleotide 7S RNA and six proteins: SRPs 72, 68, 54, 19, 14, and 9. Lineage: Eukaryota; Metazoa; Chordata; Mammalia; Primates; Cercopithecidae. The record is from Rfam by way of RNAcentral.
GCCAGGUGUGGUGGUGUGCACCUGUAAUCCCAGCUACUCAGGAGGCUGAGGCAGGAGAAUCACUUGAACCUGGGAGGUGGAGUUUGCAGUGAGCAGAGAUAACGCCACUGAACUCCAGCCUGGGCAACAGAGUGAGACUCUGUCUCAA